UUUUGUUCAGACCGAUAGACAGUAUUCGCUUGGUUUCUCUUUCCCUAAAACAUCUACCUAUGGUGGACCAAUUAUUGAGGGUCUCAUUUCUAUUGCCCAGGAUCCAAAGACAAAAAAUUGGUGGAUAAAUGCAGGAGAGAUAAACAUUGGUUAUUAUCCAGCAGCAUUGUUUUCGAACUUAGGAUCAGCAGCGAUGGUUGGAUGGGGUGGAAGAACACAAGGUAAAGCUAAUGGUCCUAGUCCUCCAAUGGGAUCUGGUUAUUUUCCUG
Molecule: small RNA, 269 nt
Filed under: Vigna angularis var. angularis
Lineage: Eukaryota; Viridiplantae; Streptophyta; Magnoliopsida; Fabales; Fabaceae
Description: Non-protein coding transcript
Source: RNAcentral